AAAGUGAGGGUGUGAAUCAACAUAGGAACCACAACGGUAGUAAUUUCAGGUGUGAGGAGACAGCAGAAUGGUAGGUGGAGGAGGACACAUGAUCAUAUGCCGGCUGUACGCUGAUGCCAUCUUGCUCUUAACACUGACCAUUCUUGGUGUUGGAACUCAUCUUGAAAAUGGUCUUGGAGGACUUGUCACAUUCCUUUGCACAUCAUCAGUGGUGGCUUGCUGGGAAAGAAUCCAUCUACAAUGCAGGAGACACAGGUUCUAUCCCUGGGUUGGGAAGAUACCCUGGAAGAGGAAAUGGCAACCCACUGCAGUAUUCUUGCCUGGGAAAUUUCAUGGACAGGGGAACCUGGUGGGCUACAGUCCAUGGAGUCACAAAGUCAGACACUGAAGCAACCUCGUAAUCUGAAGGGGCAUGCCUCAUCCCCGCCAUGGACAGCCAAAGUGGGCAGACUGCUGUUUUCACAUAAAAAGCCUGUCUUUCUGCUUGCCUGGUGGCUCAGUGGUAAAGAAGCCACCUGCCAAUGAAGGAGACCAUCUGCCAUGUAGGAGACCUGGGUUUGAUCCCUGAGUUGGGAAGAUCCCUUGGAGAAGGGAAUGACUACCCUUUUUGCCUGGAGAAUCCCAUGGACAGAGAAGCCUGGUGGGCUACAGUUGGAAGGAGUUGGACAUGACUGAGCGACUAAACCACUACCAUCACAGAAUGAUUUCAGACUCUUAUUUGCAACUCAGCCUCUCCCACCUACCCCUUGCCCCACCAGGAAUCUUUCUGUACCAUCUUGCACCAGUCAGCUUUUGCAAGUUUCCACCAUUAACAUAGUGCCUGGCACCUAGGUAGGUGCUGGAUUCUUUCUAUUAAUAUUACUGUCACCUUUCCAGAGUGUACUAGUUGAGAGAUGAUGGAAGAGAGGUGUGUUCUCUACUGUGAUCACAGAGACCAAAGGGAAAUGUGUGUGUCAAUAAGUUUUCCCUCUAUUUCAUUCUUCUUAUUUUUAUUCAACUACCUAGAGACCAGCAUUCUCAUUUGACGCUUUUUGAGAAGGAAGCAAACACAGCAGAUGACAGGCAGUGCUAGCUAGCAAUUUUUUCCCGCUUCAAAGCAGGUUAGCGGGUUCAAAUAAAACAGCGAAGAGGAAUUACAUGAAACCAAAACGGAAACUGUGAAGUGCAAGCUGAUAUUUUUAGAAGUUUGCAUAAUGACAGGUCAGAUUCCUGAAGAUUAGCCAAAGUGGCAAAUCUAACACCACUUAUUCAAAACAGGGGCAAAAGAUAGAGCAGGCAAUUAUAGUUUAGCCGCAGUUGUGGGGUAGGGGGGAUCAACUCUACUUGAACUUACUGAAGGGACAGCUUGGAAAGUGUAACUUGAAUAUAGAUGGCCUACCAGAAGGGCUUCUACAGGGAGGGGGAUGGGAAGCUGGUGGAAAAGGAAGAGAAAAGGAGGGGGUUGG
Molecule: long non-coding RNA, 1445 nt
Organism: Bos taurus (domestic cattle)
Lineage: Eukaryota; Metazoa; Chordata; Mammalia; Artiodactyla; Bovidae
Source: Ensembl